GACGAACGCUGGCGGCGUGCUUAACACAUGCAAGUCGAGCGGUAAGGCCCUUUCGGGGGUACACGAGCGGCGAACGGGUGGGUAACACGUGGGUGACCUGCCCUUAGCUCUGGGAUAAGCCUGGGAAACUGGGUCUAAUACCGGAUAUGACUCCAUGACGCAUGUUGUGGGGUGGAAAGCCUUGUGCGGCUAGGGAUGGGCCCGCGGCCUAUCAGCUUGUUGGUGGGGUGAUGGCCUACCAAGGCGACGACGGGUAGCCGGCCUGAGAGGGCGACCGGCCACACUGGGACUGAGACACGGCCCAGACUCCUACGGGAGGCAGCAGUGGGGAAUCUUGCGCAAUGGGCGAAAGCCUGACGCAGCGACGCCGCGUGGGGAUGACGGCCUCGGUU
This 392-nucleotide ribosomal RNA is filed under the name uncultured bacterium. RNAcentral describes it as "bacterial SSU rRNA". It matches the Rfam family "Bacterial small subunit ribosomal RNA", at positions 28 to 424 of the family's 1533-position model. The record is from RNAcentral.